CUAUGAUACUACACAGGGGAAGGAGCAAACGCCCCGAAUUUCAUUUCCAAAGGCUUGGAAAAGCAUCUUUCUCCUCCAAACAAUUACUGAAAACCAUGGCUGCCAUCUGGCCCCCACUAUCUGUUGGCCAUUCUACUAUUGCUGAAACCCAUGCCUGUUUCUGUCUCAGCCCGGCUUUAUCUGCAGGCCAAGGUUCUCCCAGCGCCCAUGGUGGAAACACUGGAUCCGGGACCUCCUUAGAUGAUCUGUCUCUUGGUGAUUCAAGUCCUCUUGCUUUUGCAGUGUUCGUGUUUCCUUCUCAUACUCAAUCUUCAAUGCUACAACCAAUGACUUGGGACACACCUGCUGCUUUUCUGAGAAUCUCAGAAUGAAGCGUUGUAUGUGAUGUGGGGACUCCAACCAUACGCUUAGAAUUCUAUUUUGGACAUUUGCAUAACUGGAUGAGCUUAUCAGUCAAGAAAGGGACAUUGGGUAGGCAAUUAAUAAGGAAGCUUGCCAGGGGCUUAAUGAAAUGAGGUUCAUGACUGGUUUCAGUUUAUUGUCUGGUUCUCCCUCACCAGCCUAAUUAAAGUACAGAUUUGAGAGCUAGCAGGGAGAAUUGAAUCCUGAUUAAUUUUCAUGCUGGUAAGACCUUAAACUGAUUUCUUACCUUCUCUGGGCUUUAAAGUCUAUGGUAAUUUGGCAUGAACAGAACCCCUGCCUGAAUGCUGAGUCAUUUUCCCAAGAGAACAAAGCUUCUAGAAAGCUUGGUGGAUGGUUUUUCAUUUCCUGUAACCUGGAGUGAACUUCAGAUGCUGCCGCCAAAUUGGAGGGCUUACAGUGUCUUAGUUGGGCCAAAAGCCCAAUGAAUGCCAAGGGCCAAGGCCGUGUCUGCUUAGUGACUGUUGCCGACUGCCUCACCAGGGCUGCUGGUAUUGAAGCAAAUUCUAUUUGGAAAGAGGCCAGAUUCUUCUGUCUCCUAGUGGGGGCAGGGAGGGUGCCUAGAAUUUUAUAAUGUGUGCUUAUAUUUGUGUAAUCAGCAAAAUUUCUAAUUAAGUGAGAAUUAGUGUGUUUUACCUAGUUAAAAUUAUUGCCUUUAAAGACUGAACUAAACUGUAAAGUAUAACUUCUGAAAUUGUGUGUAGUAAUAAUAAUAUAUAGUGUUCACUAUGUGUAAACACUGUUUUAAUUGCUUAAUUUGUAUUAGUUCAUUUUAUUCUCGCAACUCUGAGAUUAGUUUUCUCUUAUUAACCUCAGUUAACAUAUCAAGAUAUUAAGGCAAG
RNAcentral lists this long non-coding RNA (1262 nucleotides) under Bos indicus x Bos taurus (hybrid cattle). RNAcentral describes it as "lncRNA (ENSBIXG00000028353.1)". The record is from RNAcentral. Lineage: Eukaryota; Metazoa; Chordata; Mammalia; Artiodactyla; Bovidae.